AGAGUUUGAUCCUGGCUCAGGACGAACGCUGGCGGCGUGCUUAACACAUGCAAGUCGGACGAACUCUUCGGAGUUAGUGGCGGACGGGUGAGUAACACGUGGGAACGUGCCUUUAGGUUCGGAAUAACCCAGGGAAACUUGUGCUAAUACCGAACGUGCCCUUCGGGGGAGAGAUUUAUCGCCUUUAGAGCGGCCCGCGUCUGAUUAGCUAGUUGGUGAGGUAAAUGCUCACCAAGGCGACGAUCAGUAGCUGGUCUGAGAGGAUGAUCUGCCACAUUGGGACUGAGACACGGCCCAAACUCCUACGGGAGGCAGCAGUGGGAAAUAUUGCACAAUGGGCGCAAGCCUGAUGCAGCGACGCCGCGUGAGGGAUGACGGCCUUCGGGUUGUAAACCUCUUUCAGCAGGGAAGAAGCGAAAGUGACGGUACCUGCAGAAGAAGCGCCGGCUAACUACGUGCCAGCAGCCGCGGUAAU
RNAcentral lists this ribosomal RNA (475 nucleotides) under uncultured Caulobacteraceae bacterium. Its description in RNAcentral is "bacterial SSU rRNA". It matches the Rfam family "Bacterial small subunit ribosomal RNA", at positions 8 to 524 of the family's 1533-position model. Lineage: Bacteria; Pseudomonadati; Pseudomonadota; Alphaproteobacteria; Caulobacterales; Caulobacteraceae. The record is from RNAcentral.